RNAcentral lists this long non-coding RNA (507 nucleotides) under Mytilus galloprovincialis (Mediterranean mussel). Lineage: Eukaryota; Metazoa; Mollusca; Bivalvia; Mytilida; Mytilidae. The record is from RNAcentral.
GCUAUUGAUAUGAACUACCGCUUCUUCUUAGUAAAUAUUGUUGCAGGUUUUGUCAACUCAAUCAUCAACAUUUGAUUAUUACAUAAGAAUACAAAUUUCUCACUAUCGCAUAAACCAAACAACUAAAAUAUUCCGUUUAAAAAAUACAGUGCCUCGUUUAUUAUUAAACAAGGAGAGUGCAGACGAUACUUCAGCGAAAAUCUAGAUUCCAAAGUCGAAGAGAAAAAAAAACAAUCAUGCAAAAAACAAGCAAGUCUAAAAAGAAUCUGCAUAAAAACUGCACACUGAUCAACACAAACUCGACCAAUAAGUAACCAGUGUAGAUUUUAUUUGAUUCAUACGGAUAACUAUAUGCUGCUUCUUGUGACACCCGUCUUUCCCCUCACAAUAAGCACAUGAUAAUUUAGCUUUAAAUAUAUAUCUGCAAGCAAAACGCAUUUUAAAAUAAUAAGAAAUUCAUUUCAACAAGAGAAUUGCAAUUUGAAUAUUUCCUCUCAUUAACAUCCA